Molecule: unclassified non-coding RNA, 237 nt
Filed under: Hevea brasiliensis (rubber tree)
Lineage: Eukaryota; Viridiplantae; Streptophyta; Magnoliopsida; Malpighiales; Euphorbiaceae
Source: RNAcentral
GUUGAACCGGUGGGCGAGACUGUGUAGUUCCAGCGUGAGGAUCCUGUGGAUUGAUAGGUGGGAAGUUUCCCAUAUUGAACCUGGGAACAUUGUUCUGGAACUGAUGUCGAAACCAUGGACAGGGUUGCGUAGCUCUGGCUUGGUGAACCUGUGGACGAACUGGGGGGUAAUUUCCUAUAUUGAACACUGGGGCACUAGCAGAUCCAGAUGGGUUAAUGAUAAAUUGCGAUAUUUGAG